Molecule: ribosomal RNA, 308 nt
Filed under: uncultured bacterium
Lineage: Bacteria
Description: bacterial SSU rRNA
Rfam family: Bacterial small subunit ribosomal RNA
Source: RNAcentral
GAUGAACGCUGGCGGCACGCCUAACACAUGCAAGUCGAACGGAGUUUUGAGAGCUUGCUCUCAAAACUUAGUGGCGGACGGGUGAGUAACACGUGAGCAACCUGCCUUUCAGAGAGGGAUAGCUUCUGGAAACGGAUGGUAAUACCUCAUAAAAUAUUUUGUGGCAUCACAGAAAUAUCAAAGAUUUAUCGCUGAAAGAUGGGCUCGCGUCUGAUUAGCUAGUUGGUGAGGUAACGGCCCACCAAGGCAACGAUCAGUAGCCGACCUGAGAGGGUGAUCGGCCACACUGGGACUGAGACACGGCCCAG